This 1801-nucleotide ribosomal RNA is filed under the name Bulbochaete sp. ACOI 552. Its description in RNAcentral is "partial 18S ribosomal RNA". It matches the Rfam family "Eukaryotic small subunit ribosomal RNA". Lineage: Eukaryota; Viridiplantae; Chlorophyta; Chlorophyceae; Oedogoniales; Oedogoniaceae. The record is from RNAcentral.
GCCAUGCAUGUCUAAGUAUAAACUGCUUUAUACUGCGAAACUGCGAAUGGCUCAUUAAAUCAGUUAUAGUCUAUUUGAUGGUACCUUCCUACUCGGAUAACCGUAGUAAAUCUAGAGCUAAUACAUGCUAAAAUCCCGACUUCUGGAACGGACGAAUGGAUUAGUUAAAAGGAUUACCGGGUUUUCCCGACCUGCGGGGAAGGUGAUAACUUGAUUCAUCGCAUGGCCUUUGAUCCGGCGAUGUUUCAUUCAAUUGCUGCCCUAUUUCUGCCCUAUGGACUGAUAAAGGCCUACCAUGGGGGUACCGGGGGACGGACGAUUGAGGGUCGAUUCCGGAUAGGGACCCGGAAAAAAGCCUGCCACAUCCCUACAACGUCCCAGGAACGCAAAUUGCCCAAUCCUGACCCAAGCCGGAAGCGACGAGGAAUAACCAUACCGGGCCUUUGGGUCGGGUCCUUGAAAUGAUAACAAUUGAAAUCCCUUAUCGUUCAGAGAUCCCUUGGAAGGGCAAGUCAGGUAGCCGGCAACUCUGGUAGCUUCCAGCUCCAAAUAAUGUCAUAUUCCAAUUGCUGCUAUUAAUAAUUGCAUCGCAGUUGGAUUUCUGGUGAACCGAUUUCGGACGGCCCUGGUGAGCCCUGCCCUUCGGUUAACUUCGUUGCUGGGACCGGCGUCACUGGGCUUAUCCUCCCUCGACUCGGAGUCGAAUCUGCUACUUUUGAUCGGUUUACUAUUGUCCGGAAAUUAGAGUGUACAACUUGAGUCGAUAACUGGCCAUCGCAAAAUUUAAGCUGGAUACGACUCAAAACUAUAUCCUACUUCAUGUAUCGUGGGAUAGGACUGUAGCAUGAUCCGCUUGAUAGGAACAGAUCGGGGGCGUUCGGAAUUAGACUGUGGGGGCAUUUGUAUUUCUUUGUCAGGGGUGACAUUCUAUCUGCGACUAGCAACUGACCAAGUGAUUUUUUGAAAGUCUAUGCCAAGGGAUGAUGGCGGAUUGAUCGAAGAUCAGAGUUGUGGUAGGAAGACGAUUAGAUAUGCUCGGCCAGGGAACCAUGAUGUUUGCCUAGCGAUGGACUAUCCGGGGAUGUUGCAUUUUAAUGCCUCCGCUUCAGCACCUUGAUGGGGGGAGUACAGGUUUUUGCAAGGUUCCAGGGGGAGAAUAGGCGGUUUUGCAAGAAUGGCACCUCCAGGUCAGUGGACGGAAGGGCAUCCAGCCAGGCGUAGGAAGCGGGGAAAUCUAAUUUGACUCAGGACACGGGAAAGGAUUGACAGUCCAAACACUGUUUGGAUAUUCAGAUGGAGAGCUCUUUCUUGAUUUCUUAGGUGGUGGAGCAUGGCCGUUGGUUAAUUGUGGGAACCAACUCACCUUGAUUCCGGUAACGGUCACGACCUCCGGUCCGCAAAUAGUCAAAGUUGCAUUUCUCCGUUGGCAGAGGGAUAGAGGCACCCGCCAGUCUAUGGAAUGGAAGGCAAUAACAGGUCAGUUCUCCCUUCCCUGAGAUGUUCCGCACCGCCCUUACACUACGGAGUCCAUUAGAGUUUUUCUAUCCUUGGAUAAGAGGCCCGACCUCUCGAAACUCCGUCAUGAUGAGGGGGAUUCAUUACACAAUUGAUAGUGUUCGAGGAAUUAUGCGUAGUAAGGAGUAGUCAUCUCCCCCCGAUUACGUCCCCCCCGCCCGUACACACCGCCCGUCGCUCCUCCCGAUUGAACGGUCCGGCGAGAACUCCUGAUGGUCGGCACACAGGGGGCAAACCCUGUGUCCGUGCCAGAAGCUGAUCGAACCUCACCACCUAGAGGAAGGAG